This 407-nucleotide ribosomal RNA is filed under the name uncultured bacterium. RNAcentral's name for it is "bacterial SSU rRNA". It matches the Rfam family "Bacterial small subunit ribosomal RNA", at positions 356 to 773 of the family's 1533-position model. The record is from RNAcentral.
GGGGAAUAUUGCGCAAUGGGCGAAAGCCUGACGCAGCGACGCCGCGUGGGGGAUGAAGGCCUUCGGGUUGUAAACCCCUUUCAGCUCUGACGAAGCCUUUGGGUGACGGUAGGGGCAGAAGAAGCGCCGGCCAACUACGUGCCAGCAGCCGCGGUAAGACGUAGGGCGCAAGCGUUGUCCGGAUUUAUUGGGCGUAAAGAGCUCGUAGGCGGCCUGUCGCGUCAAUCGUGAAAUCCUGCGGCUUAACUGUGGGGUUGCGGUUGAUACGGGCGGGCUGGAGUGCGGUAGGGGAGACUGGAAUUCCUGGUGUAGCGGUGAAAUGCGCAGAUAUCAGGAGGAACACCGGUGGCGAAGGCGGGUCUCUGGGCCGUGACUGACGCUGAGGAGCGAAAGCGUGGGGAGCGAAC